Non-coding RNA from Corchorus capsularis, 46 nucleotides. Lineage: Eukaryota; Viridiplantae; Streptophyta; Magnoliopsida; Malvales; Malvaceae. The record is from Rfam.
AGUAAGGCUUUUUUUAAAGCCAAAAGUACCCAAAAGAAAAUAAAAG